UAGAGAAUAAAUUCAAAUAGAGUAUUUGGAAAAAAGAAGUAUUCUUAUGCAGUCUUGCACUCAAUUUUUUUACUUUGACAUCGUGUAGUUCGAAUAUUUUUGGUUUUAUCAAAACUUUUUCAAGAAACGAAAUACGCGCCAACAAAU
This is a non-coding RNA of Caenorhabditis elegans, 147 nucleotides long. NCBI's taxonomy places the organism in Eukaryota, Metazoa, Nematoda, Chromadorea, Rhabditida, Rhabditidae. The record is from Ensembl.